RNAcentral lists this ribosomal RNA (322 nucleotides) under Kapala nr. furcata UCRC ENT00091803. Its description in RNAcentral is "eukaryotic LSU rRNA". It matches the Rfam family "Eukaryotic large subunit ribosomal RNA", at positions 674 to 944 of the family's 3401-position model. RNAcentral also lists the same sequence under 1 other name. The record is from RNAcentral. Lineage: Eukaryota; Metazoa; Arthropoda; Insecta; Hymenoptera; Eucharitidae.
UCUAGCAUGUGCGCGAGUCAUUGGGACUUUUUUUCAGGAAAGCCCAGAGGCGCAAUGAAAGUGAAGAUCGGCCUUUUCGGCUUGAUCGAGGGAGGAUGGCUCAUUGUUAUUUUUUAUGAUGACGGGCUCGCACUCCCGGGGCGUCUCGCGCUCAUUUCGAGCGGAGGCGCACCCAGAGCGUACACGCUGGGACCCGAAAGAUGGUGAACUAUGCCUGGUCAGGACGAAGUCAGGGGAAACCCUGAUGGAGGUCCGUAGCGAUUCUGACGUGCAAAUCGAUCGUCGGAACUGGGUAUAGGGGCGAAAGACUAAUCGAACCAUC